Molecule: transfer RNA, 69 nt
Filed under: Oreonectes daqikongensis
Lineage: Eukaryota; Metazoa; Chordata; Actinopteri; Cypriniformes; Nemacheilidae
Description: tRNA-Tyr
Rfam family: tRNA
About the family: Transfer RNA (tRNA) molecules are approximately 80 nucleotides in length.
Source: RNAcentral
GGUAGGAUGGCCGAAGUUAGGCGGCGGACUGUAGUCCCGUAGAUAGAGGUUUAAAUCCUCUUCCUAUCA